UCGAGCGGUAGCAUGCUUAGUAGCAAUACUAAGUGAUGACAAGCGGCGGACGGGUGAGGAAAACGUGGGAAUCUACCCUCAAGCGGGGGACAACCAAGGGAAACUUUGGCUAAUACCGCAUAAUCUCGAGAGAGCAAAGCUGCCGCAAGGUGGCACUUGAGGAGGAGCCUGCGUCCGAUUAGCUAGUUGGUGGGGUAAGAGCCUACCAAGGCGAUGAUCGGUAACUGGUCUGAGAGGACGACCAGUCACACUGGGACUGAGACACGGCCCAGACUCCUACGGGAGGCAGCAGUGGGGAAUAUUGGACAAUGGGGGCAACCCUGAUCCAGCGAUGCCGCGUGAGUGAAGAAGGCCUUCGGGUCGUAAAGCUCUUUAGGUUGGGAAGAAGGUUGUGUGGGGACAAUCCAUGCAAUUUGACGGUACCGACAGAAUAAGCACCAGCUAACUACGUGCCAGCAGCCGCGGUAAUACGUAGGGUGCGAGCGUUAAUCGGAAUUACUGGGCGUAAAGCGUGCGCAGGCGGAUUGUUAAGCAAGAUGUGAAAUCCCCGGGCUUAACCUGGGAAUGGCAUUUUGAACUGGCAGUCUAGAGUGCGUCAGAGGGGGGUGGAAUUCCACGUGUAGCAGUGAAAUGCGUAGAGAUGUGGAGGAACACCAAUGGCGAAGGCAGCCCCCUGGGAUGACACUGACGCUCAUGUACGAAAGCGUGGGUAGCAA
This 716-nucleotide ribosomal RNA is filed under the name uncultured bacterium. RNAcentral describes it as "bacterial SSU rRNA". It matches the Rfam family "Bacterial small subunit ribosomal RNA", at positions 62 to 771 of the family's 1533-position model. The record is from RNAcentral.